RNAcentral lists this ribosomal RNA (450 nucleotides) under Triticum aestivum (bread wheat). RNAcentral describes it as "partial small subunit ribosomal RNA". Lineage: Eukaryota; Viridiplantae; Streptophyta; Magnoliopsida; Poales; Poaceae. The record is from RNAcentral.
AUGGAAACCGAGGUCGCCGGCGAGGAGAACGCGUGCAGCAAUACCAACGACGCCGUUGCCACCGAAGAAGAAGCCGGUGCUGAUGAUCCCGCCGGCGAAGAGGCCGCCAAAGCUGCCGCCGCAGAAGCUGGCGAGGGAUCCGACGAUCGCACUGACGCCCCCGAGGCCGCAGGAGCGUCACGCUCUACUCCGACCGCCGAUCCCUCCGUCGCUGCUGCAGCGCUAGGGUCUGAAGAGCCCCAGCCCGGCGCCUAUUUGAAGGCCGGCGACGAUAUCUUCAUCAAGCUCCCCUGGGCGUCAAGCUCCAGGGCGCCGGUCGAAGGAGAGAUCUUGGAUGGAGAGGUGCUCGCCUCCGCUGGGCUGACGCUGGUCGAUGCGCCAAGUAGCAGCAGCGACGAGCCUGAGGAGGAGCAGCUGCUGCGGAAGCUGUUGUCGCUCUACCGCGCCUGA